This 371-nucleotide unclassified non-coding RNA is filed under the name soil metagenome. Its description in RNAcentral is "partial contains 5.8S ribosomal RNA, internal transcribed spacer 2, and large subunit ribosomal RNA". The stretch from base 1 to 120 matches the Rfam family "5.8S ribosomal RNA", at positions 35 to 154 of the family's 154-position model. The record is from RNAcentral.
GAUGAAGAACGUAGCGAAAUGCGAUAAGUAAUGUGAAUUGCAGAAUUCAGUGAAUCAUCGAAUCUUUGAACGCACAUUGCGCUCCCUGGAAUUCCGGGGGGCAUGCCUGUUCGAGCGUCUCAGGGACGAACCCUCGCGCGGGUGUACGCGCGGUCGUGGCUGCGGUGGCGUGCCCGAGGCGGCGGCCACCGCGCUGGAAUCCAUGGGCGGACGCCUGCCGCGUGGCCGAGCGUGAUAUGACGCAUUGGCGCUCGCACGCGGAGAGGCUGCCAGCCCUGGCCCGUCUGUCGGGCGGGGGAGAGCAAGACACGUGAACUCCUCGAAUCAGGUAGGGAUACCCGCUGAACUUAAGCAUAUCAAUAAGCGGAGGA